AUGGCCGAUCUCCUGUACCAAUCCUUCCUACUCUUGGGCCUCGCCGUGGUGCUACUCCGGAUCCUUAAACUCUCUCUCCAGCCGAAGGUGAGGAACCCGCCGGGCCCAUGGAAGCUGCCUGUCAUCGGCAGCAUGCACCACCUCUUGAACGUGCUCCCGCACCGCGCCCUGAGGGACCUGGCCGGCGUACACGGCCCGCUCAUGAUGCUCCAGCUCGGGACCCCUCUCGUCGUCGUGUCGUCGAGGGAGAUGGCUCGCGAGGUGCUCAGGACGCACGACGCCAACUUCGCCACCCGCCCCAGGCUCCUCGCUGGUGAGACCCUGAUGUACGGCUGUUCCGACAUCCUUUUCUCACCGUCCGGCACCUACUGGCGCAAGCUCCGGCAGCUCUGCGCCGCCGAGAUACUGAGCGCGAACCGUGUCCGUUCCUUCAGGCACAUUAGGGAGCAAGAGGUGAGAAAUCAUGUAGAAAACAUUCAUGCCGCAGGGCCAUCUACGCCGGUGGACGUCACCAUGACUUUCUUCAACCUAACGAUAAAAAAAAGCAUCGUCUCCCGCGCAUCCUUCGGGAACAAGCAUAGAAACGUCCAAGAGUUCCUAUCGGCGAUAAAAUCCGGUGUCGCACUAGCCGGCGGCUUCAAGAUCCCCGAUCUCUUCCCGACAUGGCGGUCCGUGCUGGCCAAGGUGACCGGCAUGCGCCGCACCUUGGAGGAUGUCCACAUGACGUUGGACUCCACCUUAGAGGGGGUCAUAGAAGAGAGGGAAGGCAUCCGGAAGGACAGGGUCAAAUCCGGUGCAUCGUCGGACGUCGAGGAGAACCUGGUGGAUGUUCUCAUCGGACUGCAAGAGAAAGGUGGCAUCGGUUUCCACCUUAACACAAACAGCAUCAAGGGCGUCAUACUUGACAUGUUCGUGGCUGGAACUGGCACGUUGGCGUCAUCACUGGAUUGGGGUAUGUCUGAGCUCAUGCGGAACCCAAGGGUGAUGGACAAGCUGCAGCGCGAGAUCCGAGUGGCGUUCCGUGGCAGGGCGACCAUCAAUGAAGGCGACAUCGAGGCCAGCGAGCUCCCAUACCUGAAGCUUUUCAUCAAGGAGAACCUCCGGCUACACCCGCCAGCGCCACUCCUGGUGCCCCGGGAGUGCGUCGAGGCCUGUGAGGUCGACGGAUACCUGAUUCCCGCGGGUUCGCGCCUUGUCGUAGAUGCAUGGGCUAUUGGGAGAGAUCCAAGGUAUUGGGAGGACGCUGAAGAAUUCAAGCCCGAGCGGUUUGAGGAUAGCUCCGUCGAUUUCACAGGGAGCAACUACGAGUUUCUGCCGUUUGGGGCUGGACGGAGGAUGUGCCCGGGCAUCUCCUACGGGCUCCCCGUCUUGCAAAUGGCGCUUGUUCAACUCUGCUACCACUUUGACUGGUCCCUGCCUGAGGGCGUCACCGAGGUGGACAGGACGGACGGGGGUGGCCUCGGUCUGCGCCGCAAGUCGCCUCUCCGGCUCUGUGCCAAGUCGUUUGUCCCCGAGUCAGUGUAUGAAGCAUAA
RNAcentral lists this ribosomal RNA (1533 nucleotides) under Triticum aestivum (bread wheat). RNAcentral describes it as "partial small subunit ribosomal RNA". The record is from RNAcentral. Lineage: Eukaryota; Viridiplantae; Streptophyta; Magnoliopsida; Poales; Poaceae.